AUGUCAUCCUGGUGAGUCCUGUCCGUCCUGUGACUGAGGGACAUUCGGUCACUCUUGGCUGCAAGUUGAGGACAGAAAACCUUCUUUAUAAUGUGGAUUUCUAUAAAAAUGACAAACUCGUCCCAAAUGCUGUCAGAGGGGAGCUGCUUAUCUCUGCAGUUACUAAGUCAGAUGAAGGCUUUUAUAAAUGUAGAGGAUGGAAAUCACCUCAAGGUUUGGAGACUUUGACCUCAGCAGAGAGCUGGUUGUCAGUGAAAUAUCCUGAAGAAGCAGCACCACGCUCUGUGUUUCCCGUGCUGUUGGUUGUUGGUCUGGUUUCUGGAGUUUUACUGAUUAUUCUCCUGCUGCUGUUUCUGUGUUGCUACAGAAAGUCAAAAGCUUUGAGCCCCAGCAGGUCUCAGAGGAGCAAUCAGAGCCCAGCUACAGACCACAUGAUCAACCAGGGUGAAACUCAAGAUGGACAUCACACCUCUCCUCUUCCUGAUGAAUCCAGACUCACAUAUUCUGUGGUUCAGUUCAAAAACUUUAAAAAGAAGGAAAAGCACGAUGAACCAGACGAGAGCCCCGUUUACUCGGAUGUGAGGAUUGCAUCAGCUGCAGAUGACAACGUGACGUAUGCCCAGGUUCACCUCCCCACUGAAAAGAAGGGCAAUGAAGGAAAAUCCAGAUGUGUAUUCUGAAGUCAAUCCAGGAACAUCUGAUCAAUAAAGAUAUCCGUGUAACCGACCAACAUGAAAACAAUCUCUUUAAGAUAUAAGAUGUGUCCUUAAUCAGCUCCAGAGCAGACAGCUUGGUGUACUAUGGAAGCAUAUUCCCUUGUUCUAGUCUGCUUUGAUGGAUGAGGUUCUGGUCAAAAAGGAGGAUUUGAUCUUUGCAGGUUUCUUCAUUGUAUCCACAGAGGUUGAGUAAAAAAAGAGCGUUGAUCUUUCUUUCCCCGAUACGUCAUUAUAACAUAGAGCCAUGAUGCUUCCCCCCCGGGGAAACGAGAACCUUCAUCUUAUGGAGACAUUUCAUCAUCUGCACAGUUUUAGGUUUUGAGAGUUUUUCAUGCCCAGAGACACGGACCAAAGUAAAGUGCUGCAUAUCUCCUUCUAAAAUGAAGCAUCAUCAAAUAGAGACUCAUCGAAAUGGGAGCUGGUGCUUCUCUGUGGACACAUAAUUACAGUCUCAUGAGUGCUACUGAGAUUCAUUUUAAAAUGUUAGAUAUAGUCUGAAGUAGCAUAAAACCUUCUGCUUGACCCCUUACAUCCCUCUGUAAUACUUUUUUUCCAGUAAAAGGAAUGGUAUAUGGUAUGGUAUAUAUAAUAUUGAGCACCAUAUACAUAAAAUCAUAAAAUCAAAUCAAAAAUCAUAAAUCAUAAAAAGUCAUAAAAUAAUUAGCUUUAUCAUUUUAGGAGGAGGAGGUUGGAUACAGUAACAAAAAAUAAACUAUUAUACUAUUAUAUAAAAUAUUUGAAUGCACACACACCGUUUGUCUUGUUACUCAAACAUCAAGAGGCUGAUUAUCAGUGUAGUGGUCCUCGUACAGCAAGCUGAUGACCACACAUCAAAGAUCUUAAAGAGAACUAUACAAUAAUUCAUAUGUGGAAUUAUUUUAGUCAUUAUUAUAAUUCAGAGCUUCAGACUUUCUUUGAAGCUGAAGUUCUGCUGCCGGUUUAGAGUCUCGACGACGGUCUCCUCAUGUCCUUGAAUUAAAACAUUGUUAGUUUUAAUGCACAAUGAUGGACAAUAAACAAGCUGCACUCUGCGGAUACAGACAAGACGUUAAAGUUACAUUUAAACAUGAAGUUAUGAAUCUAAACUCUGUCCUCAAACAGACGUAACCGGUGAACAACAUCAGUCUCUGACACCACAUUAAAACGUAUGAAGACUCGUUAUAGUACAGUUAAAUCUCAUGUAUGCUACGGAGACGUGAAAACCGGCAUAGCAUUUCACAGAAGACUCGCCGAAAACAGGCUGCUCUGUGCGGGCUGAGAUGAGCUGACCGCCUGGUGCUGGAGGGUCUGACGGUCCGUUAACUACACCUCACAUCUCCAUCCACGGUGUUACGUCCCCUGUUCUGUGUAUUGGUUUGUGUAUGUGUUCUGUGUUGUGUGUGUGAGCAUACAGGUGGUACUGAUCAUCCAUGAUCUCCAUUCAUCUUGACUCCCCCCCCGCUCGUUACCCAGUUCAGCUGUUUCCACUCAUCUCCAAUCCCAUCAUGCCCUUCUGUCAGUAUAUGUACCCCUGUGCUUGUUUCACCUGGGUGUGUGGCACUCUGGUUGUGUAUACGUGAGUGCUGGGGCCUGUUUCAAUAAGGAGGUUCAACCAACUCUGAGUUAAAACUUGAACUCUGAGUUGACUUACCCUGAGAUGGGAAACUCUGAGUUUUCGGUUACAGAACAGCUGAAAUGAGUUAGUUCAAUCAACUCUGAGUUGACCUACUCUGAGUUAAGCGCGUGCACCACAACUAUAAAAAGCCAUUAUCAAUGGAGCGCAGAUAUUACGAGUCACCAUGGCCACAGCGCCAGACAAAAAGAGGUCUUCAUAUUUUUCACCAGCAGAACUGGAUGUGCUUAUGCAAG
This is a long non-coding RNA of Pungitius pungitius (ninespine stickleback), 2564 nucleotides long. RefSeq lists it as uncharacterized. Lineage: Eukaryota; Metazoa; Chordata; Actinopteri; Perciformes; Gasterosteidae. The transcript is spliced from 9 exons. The record is from RefSeq and is a predicted model, not a curated record.